This 448-nucleotide ribosomal RNA is filed under the name Triticum turgidum subsp. durum (durum wheat). RNAcentral describes it as "eukaryotic LSU rRNA". The stretch from base 282 to 448 matches the Rfam family "Eukaryotic large subunit ribosomal RNA", at positions 1 to 167 of the family's 3401-position model. The record is from RNAcentral. Lineage: Eukaryota; Viridiplantae; Streptophyta; Magnoliopsida; Poales; Poaceae.
GGUCUUUGACGCAGUUGCGCCCGAGGCCACUCGGCCGAGGGCACGCCUGCCUGGGCGUCACGCCAAAACACGCUCCCAACCACCCUCAACGGGAAUCGGGAUGCGGCAUCUGGUCCCUCGUCUCUCAAGGGACGGUGGACCGAAGAUUGGGCUGCCGGCGUACCGCGCCGGACACAGCGCAUGGUGGGCGUCCUCGCUUUAUCAAUGCAGUGCAUCCGGCGCGCAGCUGGCAUUAUGGCCUUUGAACGACCCAACAAACGAAGCGCACGUCGCUUCGACCGCGACCCCAGGUCAGGCGGGACUACCCGCUGAGUUUAAGCAUAUAAAUAAGCGGAGGAGAAGAAACUUACAAGGAUUCCCCUAGUAACGGCGAGCGAACCGGGAGCAGCCCAGCUUGAGAAUCGGGCGGCUGUGCCGUCCGAAUUGUAGUCAAGAAAAAGCGUCAUCC